This 1351-nucleotide ribosomal RNA is filed under the name uncultured bacterium. RNAcentral's name for it is "bacterial SSU rRNA". It matches the Rfam family "Bacterial small subunit ribosomal RNA", at positions 30 to 1370 of the family's 1533-position model. The record is from RNAcentral.
UGAACGCUAGCGGCAGGCUUAACACAUGCUUGUCGAGGGGCAGCAUGACGGAACUUUCGGGUUCUGUUGAUGGCGACCGGCGCAAGGGUGCGUAACGCGUGAUCAACUUGCCCGUUUCAGGGGGAUAACCGGUGGAAACGCCGACUAAUACCCCAUAGUAUCAACUUGAGGCAUCUUUAGUUGAUUAAAGAAUUUCGGAAACGGAUAGGCUCGCGUGACAUUAGCUAGAUGGUAGGGUAACGGCCUACCAUGGCGACGAUGUCUAGGGGUUCUGAGAGGAAGGUCCCCCACACUGGAACUGAGACACGGUCCAGACUCCUACGGGAGGCAGCAGUGAGGAAUAAUGGUCAAUGGUCGGGAGACUGAACCAGCCAUGCCGCGUGAAGGAGACGGCCCUAUGGGUCUUAAACUUCUUUUGUAAGGGAGCAAUAAGGUUCACGUGUGGACCGAUGAGAGUACCUUACGAAUAAGCAUCGGCUAACUCCGUGCCAGCAGCCGCGGUAAUACGGAAGAUGCGAGCGUUAUCCGGAUUUAUUGGGUUUAAAGGGUGCGUAGGCGGUCUGUUAAGUCAGCGGUGAAAUUUAGGGGCUCAACCUCUACCGUGCCGUUGAUACUGGUAGGCUGGAAUGCGGAUGCCUUGGGAGGAAUGUGUGGUGUAGCGGUGAAAUGCAUAGAUAUCACACAGAACCCCGGAUUGCGAAGGCAUCUCACGAAUCCGCUAUUGACGCUGAUGCACGAAAGCGUGGGGAUCAAACAGGAUUAGAUACCCUGGUAGUCCACGCAGCAAACGAUGAAUGCUAGAUGUUCGAUAGGAUUGACUAUUGAGUGUCACAGCGAAAGCGUUAAGCAUUCCACCUGGGGAGUACGCCGGCAACGGUGAAACUCAAAGGAAUUGACGGGGGCCCGCACAAGCGGAGGAACAUGUGGUUUAAUUCGAUGAUACGCGAGGAACCUUACCCCGGCUCAAACGACAGGGGAAUAUGCGUGAAAGCGCAUAGCUAGCAAUAGUCGCUGUCGAGGUGCUGCAUGGUUGUCGUCAGCUCGUGCCGUGAGGUGUCGGCUUAAGUGCCAUAACGAGCGCAACCCCUGCCUUCAGUUGCUAACAGGAAAGCUGAGGACUCUGGAGGGACUGCCGGCGCAAGCCGUGAGGAAGGAUGGGAUGACGUCAAAUCAGCACGGCCCUUACGUCCGGGGCGACACACGUGUUACAAUGGUCGGCACAGCGGGAAGCCAUAUGGUGACAUAGAGCGGAACCCGAAAGCCGGUCUCAGUUCGGAUCGGAGUCUGCAACUCGACUCCGUGAAGCUGGAUUCGCUAGUAAUCGCGCAUCAGCCAUGGCGCGGUGAAUACG